Molecule: long non-coding RNA, 1926 nt
Organism: Girardinichthys multiradiatus
Lineage: Eukaryota; Metazoa; Chordata; Actinopteri; Cyprinodontiformes; Goodeidae
Exons: 4
Source: RefSeq, a predicted model, not a curated record
GUUUUGCCCGCCGAAUAAUCCUUAGUCUUUUACAGACUAGCUUUGAGUAAACUUCUGGUGAGCUCAAAGUAUUCCCCAAACCCUUUAUUCCCCAAACCCUUUAUUUCCAAAACCCUUCCGAGAAGAAAGAGCAAUCUUGCUGUUUUUUCUCUCCACCCAGAGUGAUUACUGUCGAACACACCAAGCCUUUUCCGUUGAGAUGCCUCGAGGAAAGUCCCACCGCCGAUCCGAAGCUGCUCGUCGCAGGUUUGAAGCAACUCGGGCUCAGCGUGUCGGGAUGCCAGAGCCUUCCAGCGACUUUGUUCCACGGUUAGGGUUAGCUGACUCCCAAACUCCACAUGUUCACCAAAAAUGCAACCUGGAGAUGAAGACACAAUGAGCACAGAUGUUUUCAGCUUCUUUAAUGAGAAAGAGGAUUUCCUCCUGCAAAUCUGAGAGUGGAGAACUGGGACAUAGGCUGCAACAGCUUUUGUGUGUUUUUGUGCGAGAACACAGCUGCUUUCUUGCAUGUGCAGAGCCGUUUUUGCACCUCUGGUGAGUGUCGUUUUAUGUGCAGCAGAGAGGCGAGAGGCCUGUAAACAUGUCAAUACAGUAGAUCUUAAUCAUGUGCAGCAUUCUGUAAGGUGACACACUUGAUUCAUAGUGAAAAGUCACUAGUUUGAUGGUGUGGGCAACUCAACACCAAGUCAUCUCUGAAGUGGCAACUAAUCAGCAGACAAAAAGAUGUGGAUUUAACAAGGCCUAAAAAUUUUGUUAGUGACUCAAACAUAGAGUACAGCAUCAUCACCUUUGAGUUAUGCUGACCCAUUCGUUCAACUCCAGACUCCCAUCUUACUUCAGUAUAAAAAAAUGCUAAUGUUCUUUGUUGAAGUCAAAUGCUGUAAUAUGUAAUGCUGGAUGUUAAAUAUUUGUAUUUGCUUAAAGCAUAAAUAAAUCGUUUGGGGGCCUCACUGAGGCAGCAGAGGGAUCUCUGAGAGCUUUGUUUGCAUUUUAAAGCCAUCAUGCAAACACAAGAUCAACAUUUAGUGAGGUCUGUAAUUUUUCUGGAUUUUAUUCUGCUGUAGCCAAUUAACAUCAUUGGUACAGUUUGGGAUUUUUGAAGCCAGGUUCUGUUUAAAGGUUGUAAGCAGUUAAUCUCUUACCUACAGUAGAACACUCUCUUGGCAACUUCAUUUAGUAUAAAUCCUGAUUAAAUAGUGGAGGCUGAAUCUAACAGCUAGUCGGACAGGGUCCAAGACAAAGAAGACCACGGUGGACUAAUUCCAUUUUAAAACAAUCCCAACCUAAAUGAUUUCACUGGAACACUAUUUUAUGAACCGUUAAACUCUCCUCACUGUUACAUCGAGCGGACAUUAUUACACAUUUUGUUUAUUAUUAUUUUAAAAUGCUAGGUUCCUGUUAACUGAACCAUUUCUGUUAUUCAGAAGAACUUUCACUUCAACAGCACAGCAGCUUUGUUGUGUACCCCAGGGAUCAGUCCUUGGCUCCUUUUCACAAUCUUUUCAGGUGCUGUGCCAUUAGCUUUAUCCUCUGGUAUCAUGAUUUAUACUAAAUACUGACAUCAAAAAAGUUACCGACUACAGGCAAGACUUGUAACUGUUUAGAAUAUUUCAAUGAAAUGUUAUUUAAAAAAACUGAAAUGUUUGCCCUGAAUAAAAAAUGUUAAUGUCUGUAUUAUUUAAGGUUGCAUAAGCUGAUUUUGUGCAAUUAUAGUUGCAAGAUGCAGGCUGAAAUGCUACUUCAUGUUUGGUGAUGGUAAGGGGAAGUGCAACUGACAAUAUUCUAUUUUUGCAUAUUUUCUAUUACAUAUUUCAGUGUAGAAUUUUAUGGAUGACUAAUCUCUAUCAGAAGGGUACUAAGGGCACAGGUGAGCUUAAGCAAUUUUGUGAUAGUUUAAUUUUCAACAACCGAAAAUGAGUUUAAAGG